This 762-nucleotide ribosomal RNA is filed under the name Salmonella enterica subsp. enterica serovar Hillingdon. Its description in RNAcentral is "bacterial LSU rRNA". It matches the Rfam family "Bacterial large subunit ribosomal RNA", at positions 2183 to 2925 of the family's 2925-position model. The record is from RNAcentral. Lineage: Bacteria; Pseudomonadati; Pseudomonadota; Gammaproteobacteria; Enterobacterales; Enterobacteriaceae.
GAGCCGACCUUGAAAUACCACCCGUUUAAUGUUUGAUGUUCUAACGUGGACCCGUGAUCCGGGUUGCGGACAGUGUCUGGUGGGUAGUUUGACUGGGGCGGUCUCCUCCUAAAGAGUAACGGAGGAGCACGAAGGUUGGCUAAUCCUGGUCGGACAUCAGGAGGUUAGUGCAAUGGCAUAAGCCAGCUUGACUGCGAGCGUGACGGCGCGAGCAGGUGCGAAAGCAGGUCAUAGUGAUCCGGUGGUUCUGAAUGGAAGGGCCAUCGCUCAACGGAUAAAAGGUACUCCGGGGAUAACAGGCUGAUACCGCCCAAGAGUUCAUAUCGACGGCGGUGUUUGGCACCUCGAUGUCGGCUCAUCACAUCCUGGGGCUGAAGUAGGUCCCAAGGGUAUGGCUGUUCGCCAUUUAAAGUGGUACGCGAGCUGGGUUUAGAACGUCGUGAGACAGUUCGGUCCCUAUCUGCCGUGGGCGCUGGAGAACUGAGGGGGGCUGCUCCUAGUACGAGAGGACCGGAGUGGACGCAUCACUGGUGUUCGGGUUGUCAUGCCAAUGGCACUGCCCGGUAGCUAAAUGCGGAAGAGAUAAGUGCUGAAAGCAUCUAAGCACGAAACUUGCCCCGAGAUGAGUUCUCCCUGAGACUUUAGAGUCUCCUGAAGGAACGUUGAAGACGACGACGUUGAUAGGCCGGGUGUGUAAGCGCAGCGAUGCGUUGAGCUAACCGGUACUAAUGAACCGUGAGGCUUAACCUUACAACGCCGAAG